UUUAGUAAGGUAUUAAACAACUUUGGGUAAAGAAUUUUAUGUUAAAAUGCGUAGGUUUAGUAACUUAAUCAUGUGUGUAGGUACAAUAUAAGCUUUAGGAAUGUAAAUACAAGAUAUAUUUUGAAGGUUAAUCUGACAUGAGAAUGCUUUUAAAGUUAAAUAACUAAGGAAUAGGAACUCGGCAAAUAUUAAGCUCGCCUGUUUAACAAAAACAUCGCCUUCAGGUAAAAUAUUGGAGGUCUGGUCUGCCCAGUGUAGUAAUUAACGGCCGCGGUAUCCUGACUGUGCAAAGGUAGCAUAAUCACUUGCCCUUUAAAUGGGGGAAUGUAUGAAUGAUUCGACGAGGUUUUGACUGUCUUUUCUUUAGUAAAUUGAGAUUACAUUAUCUGUGAAAAUGCGGAUAAUAAGUAAUGGACGAGAAGACCCUGUUGAGCUUUUAAGUUAAUUAAAGGUAUAAGUUAGCUUAAGUAAAUAUUUAUUAUCAAAAUAUGUAUUUUUUAUUAAUCUUUUUGGCUGGGGUGGCAAGCAAAGGAAUUGAGCUUUGCUAGAAUAGGAAUUUUGGUUCGGGAGAUGGUAUACAUCAAUGAAUUAAUUAAAUAGAUCCGCUAGUUAAGCGAUUAAUAGAAUAAGUUACCACAGGGAUAACAGCGUUAUUCCUUUUGAGAGCUCUAAUUGACAGAGGAGUUUGCGACCUCGAUGUUGGAUCAAGAUUCCUAGUGGUGUAGCAGCUAUUAUGGGUUUGCCUGUUCGGCGAUUAAAAUCUUACGUGAUCUGAGU
This 777-nucleotide ribosomal RNA is filed under the name Branchiostoma malayanum. RNAcentral's name for it is "partial 16S rRNA". It matches the Rfam family "Bacterial large subunit ribosomal RNA", at positions 1516 to 2610 of the family's 2925-position model. The record is from RNAcentral. Lineage: Eukaryota; Metazoa; Chordata; Leptocardii; Amphioxiformes; Branchiostomatidae.